GGUUGGCCUCGGAUCAGGCGGGAAUACCCGCUGAACUUAAGCAUAUCAAUAAGCGGAGGAAAAGAAACCAACAGGGAUUGCCCUAGUAACGGCGAGUGAAGCGGCAACAGCUCAAAUUUGAAAUCUGGCCCCGGCCCGAGUUGUAAUUUGCAGAGGAUGCUUUUGGCGCGGUGCCUUCCGAGUUCCCUGGAACGGGACGCCACAGAGGGUGAGAGCCCCGUAUGGUCGGACACCAAGCCUUUGUAAAGCUCCUUCGACGAGUCGAGUAGUUUGGGAAUGCUGCUCAAAAUGGGAGGUAAAUCUCUUCUAAAGCUAAAUAUUGGCCAGAGACCGAUAGCGCACAAGUAGAGUGAUCGAAAGAUGAAAAGCACCUUGAAAAGGGGGUUAAACAGUACGUGAAAUUGUUGAAAGGGAAGGGCUCGUGACCAGACUUGUGCCAGGCGGCUCAUCCGGCGUUCUCGCCGGUGCACUCCGCCUGGCUCAGGCCAGCAUCGGUUCUUGCCGGGGGAUAAGAGCUUCAGGAACGUGGCCCCCUUCGGGGGGUGUUAUAGCCUGUCGCACGAUGCCCUGGCGGGGACCGAGGUUCGCGCUCCGCAAGGAUGCUGGCGUAAUGGUCACCAACCACCCGUCUUGAAACACGGACCAAGGAGUCGUCCAUCAGAGCGAGCGUUUGGGUGUAAAACCCGCACGCGUAAUGAAAGUGAACGCAGGUGAGAGCUUCGGCGCAUCAUCGACCGAUCCUGAUGUAUUCGGAUGGAUUUGAGUAAGAGUUUUGCUGGACGGACCCGAAAGACAGUGAACUAUGCUUGUAUAGGGUGAAGCCAGAGGAAACUCUGGUGGAGGCUCGCAGCGGUUCUGACGUGCAAAUCGAUCGUCAAAUAUGAGCAUGGGGGCGAAAGACUAAUCGAACUGUCUAGUAGCUGGUUACCGCCGAAGUUUCCCUCAGGAUAGCAGUGUUGUUCUUCAGUUUUAUGAGGUAAAGCGAAUGAUUAGGGACUCGGGGGCGCUUAUUAGCCUUCAUCCAUUCUCAAACUUUAAAUAUGUAAGAAGCCCUUGUUACUUAAUUGAACGUGGGCAUUCGAAUGUACCAACACUAGUGGGCCAUUUUUGGUAAGCAGAACUGGCGAUGCGGGAUGAACCGAACGCGGGGUUAAGGCGCCAGAGUGUACGCUCAUCAGACACCACAAAAGGCGUUAGUACAUCUUGACAGCAGGACGGUGGCCAUGGAAGUCGGAAUCCGCUAAGGACUGUGUAACAACUCACCUGCCGAAUGUACUAGCCCUGAAAAUGGAUGGCGCUCAAGCGUACCGCCCAUACCCCGCCCUCAGGGUAGAAACGAUGCCCUGAGGAGUAGGCGGCCGUGGGGGUCUGUGACGAAGCCUUGGGCGUGAGCCCGGGUCGAACGGCCCCUAGUGCAGAUCUU
This 1423-nucleotide ribosomal RNA is filed under the name Cainiella johansonii. RNAcentral's name for it is "eukaryotic LSU rRNA". It matches the Rfam family "Eukaryotic large subunit ribosomal RNA", at positions 1 to 1452 of the family's 3401-position model. Lineage: Eukaryota; Fungi; Ascomycota; Sordariomycetes; Diaporthales; Sydowiellaceae. The record is from RNAcentral.